This 114-nucleotide ribosomal RNA is filed under the name Rugitermes flavicinctus. Lineage: Eukaryota; Metazoa; Arthropoda; Insecta; Blattodea; Kalotermitidae. The record is from RNAcentral.
AACGGCUUUACCAUGUUGACAACACUGGUUCCCGUAAGAUCACCGAAGUUAAGCAACAUUGGUCGUGGUUAGUACUUGGAUGGAUGACCGUCUGGGUGCACACCACGUGCUGUU